CUCAGACUGAAUUACCCCACCAGCUUUCUUGAUUUUCCAGCUUGCAGGUGGCAGAUAAUGAGACUUCUCAGCCUCCAUAAUCAUACGAACAAGCAAAGACCCCACAAGGCUAAUUUUCAGAGCUAGUAAAUGAGAGAAGAGAAUACAAGGAAAAUGAAGAAAGACAAAAUAUUAGCAUCUCUGACAUUUACAGAAUAGAUGGGAGAGAAGAACCUGGAGGAAAGCUGUAAAGGGUACAUCAGAGAG
Molecule: long non-coding RNA, 246 nt
Filed under: Homo sapiens (human)
Lineage: Eukaryota; Metazoa; Chordata; Mammalia; Primates; Hominidae
Description: HSALNT0374346
Source: RNAcentral